UACGUAGGGGGCGAGCGUUGUCCGGAAUUAUUGGGCGUAAAGAGCGUGUAGGCGGCUUGGUAAGUCUGUCGUGAAAUGCUGGGGCUCAACCCUGGACGUGCGGUGGAUACUGCUUGGCUAGAGGACGGAAGAGGCGAGUGGAAUUCCCGGUGUAGCGCUGAAAUGCGCAGAUAUCAGGAGGAACACCAGUAGCGAAGGCGGCUCGCUGGGCCGUUCCUGACGCUGAGACGCGAAAGCAUGGGGAGCAAACAGG
This 253-nucleotide ribosomal RNA is filed under the name uncultured bacterium. Its description in RNAcentral is "partial 16S ribosomal RNA". It matches the Rfam family "Bacterial small subunit ribosomal RNA", at positions 524 to 776 of the family's 1533-position model. The record is from RNAcentral.